This 467-nucleotide ribosomal RNA is filed under the name uncultured bacterium. RNAcentral's name for it is "partial 16S ribosomal RNA". It matches the Rfam family "Bacterial small subunit ribosomal RNA", at positions 29 to 507 of the family's 1533-position model. The record is from RNAcentral.
ACGAACGCUGGCGGCGUGCUUAACACCUGCAAGUCGCACGGAAAGGCCCUGCUUUUGUGGGGUGCUCGAGUGGCGAACGGGUGAGUAACACGUGAGUAACCUGCCCUUGACUUUGGGAUAACUUCAGGAAACUGGGGCUAAUACCGGAUAGGAGCUCCUGCUGCAUGGUGGGGGUUGGAAAGUUUCGGCGGUUGGGGAUGGACUCGCGGCUUAUCAGCUUGUUGGUGGGGUAGUGGCUUACCAAGGCUUUGACGGGUAGCCGGCCUGAGAGGGUGACCGGCCACAUUGGGACUGAGAUACGGCCCAGACUCCUACGGGAGGCAGCAGUGGGGAAUAUUGCACAAUGGGCGGAAGCCUGAUGCAGCAACGCCGCGUGCGGGAUGACGGCCUUCGGGUUGUAAACCGCUUUCGCCUGUGAUGAAGCGUGAGUGACGGUAAUGGGUAAAGAAGCACCGGCUAACUACGUG